Pristis pectinata (smalltooth sawfish) is the source of this 302-nucleotide long non-coding RNA. RefSeq lists it as uncharacterized. The record is from RefSeq and is a predicted model, not a curated record. The transcript has 3 exons. NCBI's taxonomy places the organism in Eukaryota, Metazoa, Chordata, Chondrichthyes, Rhinopristiformes, Pristidae.
AUCUGAUUCUGAUGCUCAAGCACCUGGAGUGGGAAUUGAACCUGCAAGUUUCAGAUUCAGGGUUAAAGAAUUUCAAAGGUUCGCCACCUUCAGAAAGAAGAAGGCCCACCUCACCUUCAUCUUACCUGGUGCCUUCUUAUCCUGAAGAUAACCCACUAAAUCUUGAUUCCACAAAGAGAGGAAUGGAAUUUUACAUCAACCAGCAGAUGGAACCUGAAAGGUAAACCAAUCUCCUCUUCGGCAGAUCAAGAGACUGCAGAUGCUGGAAUCUGGAGCAAAAAAACUUCUGGAGAGGAACUCAG